RNAcentral lists this ribosomal RNA (200 nucleotides) under uncultured bacterium. RNAcentral describes it as "partial 16S ribosomal RNA". It matches the Rfam family "Bacterial small subunit ribosomal RNA", at positions 8 to 210 of the family's 1533-position model. The record is from RNAcentral.
AGAGUUUGAUCAUGGCUCAGGACGAACGCUGGCGGCGUGCUUAACACAUGCAAGUCGAGCGGAAAGGCCCUUCGGGGUACUCGAGCGGCGAACGGGUGAGUAACACGUGAGCAACCUGCCCUUGGCUCUGGGAUAGCUCCGGGAAACCGGGAUUAAUACCGGACAUGACCUUCUGCUGCAUGGCAGUUGGUGGAAAGUUU